Molecule: ribosomal RNA, 1003 nt
Filed under: uncultured bacterium
Lineage: Bacteria
Description: bacterial SSU rRNA
Rfam family: Bacterial small subunit ribosomal RNA
Source: RNAcentral
AGUGAGGAAUAUUGCACAAUGGAGGAAACUCUGAUGCAGCAACGCCGCGUGGAGGAUGACGCAUUUCGGUGUGUAAACUCCUUUUAUAUGUCAAGAAAAUGACGGUAGCAUAUGAAUAAGCACCGGCUAACUCCGUGCCAGCAGCCGCGGUAAUACGGAGGGUGCAAGCGUUAUUCGGAAUCACUGGGCGUAAAGGACGCGUAGGCGGGAUGCCAAGUCUGAUGUGAAAUCCUAUGGCUCAACCAUAGAACUGCAUUGGAAACUGGUAACCUAGAGUAUGGGAGGGGGAGAUGGAAUUAGUGGUGUAGGGGUAAAAUCCGUAGAUAUCACUAGGAAUACCGAAAGCGAAGGCGAUCUCCUGGAACAAUACUGACGCUAAGGCGUGAAAGCGUGGGGAGCAAACGGGAUUAGAUACCCCGGUAGUCCACGCCCUAAACGAUGUUCACUAGUCGUCGGAAUGCUAGUCAUUUCGGUGAUGCACUUAACAGAUUAAGUGAACCGCCUGGGGAGUACGGUCGCAAGAUUAAAACUCAAAGGAAUAGACGGGGACCCGCACAAGUGGUGGAGCAUGUGGUUUAAUUCGAAGAUACGCGAAGAACCUUACCUAGCCUUGACAUUGAUUGAACGAACCAGAGAUGGAUCGGUGCCCUUCGGGGAACAUGAAAACAGGUGCUGCACGGCUGUCGUCAGCUCGUGUCGUGAGAUGUUGGGUUAAGUCCCGCAACGAGCGCAACCCUCGUCCUUAGUUGCCAGCAGGUUAAGCUGGGCACUUUAAGGAGACUGCCUUCGCAAGGAGGAGGAAGGUGAGGACGACGUCAAGUCAUCAUGGCCCUUAUGGCUAGGGCUACACACGUGCUACAAUGGGGCGUACAGAGAGUUGCGAUACCGCGAGGUGGAGCCAAUCUCAUAAAGCGUCUCUCAGUUCGGAUUGAAGUCUGCAACUCGACUUCAUGAAGCUGGAAUCACUAGUAAUCGUAGAUCAGCAAUGCUACGGUGAAUACGU